AAGUUGCACAGUAGCGAUCUAAAAAAGAAAAAUCAAGAUUUGGGUUUGGUUUGAUAUUUAGAGAAAAGAAAUGGGUUUCUCAGAGGUAGAGAAAGCAUGCAAGGAGCACCCAUACCACAAUCAAAAGCAAGGGGUUUGUCCAUCAUGUUUAAGAGAAAGAUUAUCUCAACUUUAUGUAGUUGUUUCAAGCAACAAAGAAGCAGUGGCACCAUCUUCUUCUUCGAUGUCUUUUUCCUCUGCUUCAUCUUCGACCCAUAUAUCUCCAGUUAUUCAUCAUCAUCGUCAUCAGCGAAACAUUUCUGAUAUUAUGGGUUCCAUAUCUUUCAGGGUAAGUGCAGGAAGUGGGUUAAAGAAGAGUAGAUCGAUCGCUUUUGUGUCGAGAAGCAGCCUUGUUGGAGAGUUGAAGCACGGGACGAAGAAGAAUAAGAAAGGUUUUUGGUCAAAGUUACUUCAUUUGAAGGGAAAGAAUAAGGAGGCUAAUAUUGGUGGAAAGAUCGCUUUGAAUGUAUAGACUUUGCUUCAAAAAAGGAAGGAGGGGUAGCGGUACCGAAGUUGUCUCCAUGGCUACGUGCUCUCAAGCUCUCGAGUUCGAGAUUCAGGAUUUCAAGUCCUUUAAUUUGAAUUUUAGUCAGAAUCAAUUGUACCAAACAAA
RNAcentral lists this unclassified non-coding RNA (652 nucleotides) under Hevea brasiliensis (rubber tree). The record is from RNAcentral. Lineage: Eukaryota; Viridiplantae; Streptophyta; Magnoliopsida; Malpighiales; Euphorbiaceae.